GCCUUCGUAGUGUAACCAUAUAGCACAUUCGUCAAGUAUUCGAGAGGUCCAGGUUCAAGUCCCGGUAAAGGCA
This 73-nucleotide transfer RNA is filed under the name Stegodyphus mimosarum. It matches the Rfam family "tRNA". From Rfam's summary of the family: Transfer RNA (tRNA) molecules are approximately 80 nucleotides in length. The record is from Rfam by way of RNAcentral. Lineage: Eukaryota; Metazoa; Arthropoda; Arachnida; Araneae; Eresidae.